GGGAUAACAUUUGGAAACAGAUGCUAAUACCGUAUAAAUCCUAAAACCACAUGGUUUUAGGCUGAAAGGCGGCUUCGGCUGUCAUUUAGAGAUGGACCCGCGGCGUAUUAGCUAGUUGGUGAGGUAAUGGCUCACCAAGGCAAUGAUACGUAGCCGAACUGAGAGGUUGAUCGGCCACAUUGGGACUGAGACACGGCCCAAACUCCUACGGGAGGCAGCAGUAGGGAAUCUUCCACAAUGGACGCAAGUCUGAUGGAGCAACGCCGCGUGAGUGAAGAAGGCUUUCGGGUCGUAAAACUCUGUUGUUGAAGAAGAACACGUUUGAGAGUAACUGUUCAGACGUUGACGGUAUUCAACCAGAAAGCCACGGCUAACUACGUGCCAGCAGCCGCGGUAAUACGUAGGUGGCAAGCGUUAUCCGGAUUUAUUGGGCGUAAAGCGAGCGCAGGCGGUUUUUUAAGUCUGAUGUGAAAGCCCUCGGCUUAACCGAGGAAGUGCAUCGGAAACUGGGAAACUUGAAUGCUGAAGAGGACAGUGGUACUCCAUGUGUAGCGGUGAAAUGCGUAGAUAUAUGGAAGAACACCAGUGGCGAAGGCGGCUGUCUGGUCAGUUAUUGACGCUGAGGCUCGAAAGCAUGGGUAGCGAACAGGAUUAGAUACCCUGGUAGUCCAUGCCGUAAACGAUGAAUACUAGGUGUUGGAGGGUUUC
RNAcentral lists this ribosomal RNA (708 nucleotides) under uncultured bacterium. RNAcentral's name for it is "bacterial SSU rRNA". It matches the Rfam family "Bacterial small subunit ribosomal RNA", at positions 140 to 834 of the family's 1533-position model. The record is from RNAcentral.